CGGCGGAGGGAUCAUUACAGAGUUGCAAAACUCCCUAAACCAUUGUGAACGUUACCCAAACCGUUGCUUCGGCGGGCGGCCCCGGGGUCAUCCCCGGGCGCCCCUGGGCCCCAUCGCGGGCGCCCGCCGGAGGUCACCAAACUCUUGAUAAUUUAUGGCCUCUCUGAGUCUUCUGUACUGAAUAAGUCAAAACUUUCAACAACGGAUCUCUUGGUUCUGGCAUCGAUGAAGAACGCAGCGAAAUGCGAUAAGUAAUGUGAAUUGCAGAAUUCAGUGAAUCAUUGAAUCUUUGAACGCACAUUGCGCCCGCCAGUAUUCUGGCGGGCAUGCCUGUUCGAGCGUCAUUUCAACCAUCAAGCCCCCGGCUUGUGUUGGGGACCUGCGGCUGCCGCAGGCCCUGAAAAGCAGUGGCGGGCUCGCUGUCACACCGAGCGUAGUAGCAUACAUCUCGCUCUGGGCGUGCUGCGGGUUCCGGCCGUUAAACCACCUUCAUAACCCAAGGUUGACCUCGGAUCAGGUAGGAAGACCCGCUGAACUUAAGCAUAUCAAGGG
Molecule: ribosomal RNA, 552 nt
Filed under: Chaetomium madrasense
Lineage: Eukaryota; Fungi; Ascomycota; Sordariomycetes; Sordariales; Chaetomiaceae
Description: eukaryotic LSU rRNA
Rfam family: 5.8S ribosomal RNA (bases 191-344)
Source: RNAcentral